Molecule: long non-coding RNA, 244 nt
Filed under: Manihot esculenta (cassava)
Lineage: Eukaryota; Viridiplantae; Streptophyta; Magnoliopsida; Malpighiales; Euphorbiaceae
Description: long non-coding RNA (MESC_LNC001326)
Source: RNAcentral
GGGUAAAGAUGCAUGUUUAGGUUAGUUGUAAAUGUUAGGGUUUAUGUGAGUUAAUGAUGAAAUGUAUGUUUAUUGUUGUUAUAAUGUAAUGUUGUUGGGGUAUAGGCUAGUUUUAAGCCCCUAAAUGCUUAAGAGUGUGUUUAUGCAUAUUUUUGCAUGGUUUGGUUUGAGUUUGGAGGUUUUGGGAGGCUGAUUGUGCAUGAGAGGCUGAGUUCUGCCAUUCUGGAAUAACUCAGGUUCGGCA